AGUACCUGCAGAAGGUCUCUGGAGACAUCUUCAGCAGGAUCCCACACCAUGCCUCACAUGGUAGACCCCAGUGGGAAGUAUGUGACUGCCUGACUCAGGUGCCUCUCGUGGUCCAAGCCAUCCCUGCCCUGUCCCUUCCCUGGUUGUCGCCAGACCUGGAGCCCCUGCUCCUUCACUUUGCAGCCUCCUCUUCUGUCACCAACUGGGAACCCA
Molecule: long non-coding RNA, 213 nt
Organism: Homo sapiens (human)
Lineage: Eukaryota; Metazoa; Chordata; Mammalia; Primates; Hominidae
Gene: WASH5P
Product: WASP family homolog 5, pseudogene
Source: Ensembl